AUGCUGAGGAGGUGCCACGACAAGCUCGACAUCACGCACCAAAAUAUGGUACUGUUUUCAGUCGGGAAAUUUUCUUGUGAGGUUUUGUGCGACGUAAUUCCAGUGCCCAUGGUUUCGUGUCAUAUGCUACUGGGAGAGCCAUGGUACAAGAAAAACUAUGCUACGCAUGACUAUCGCGCCAAAAUGUAUACUGUCGAAUGGGGUACAAAAUAUGUCCUCAUGGCCAUGGAGAAGAAGUUAUUCAAGACAUGGAGGAAAGAACGGCAACAAAAGAUGAAGGAACAAAAAGAAGCAAAGAAGGAAGUCAAACCUAUUGAAAUUUUUUCGGCGCACGUUCAUUCCACAGAUUAUGUCGUUGUUAUAGAGACUGACACAAAAUCAAGAACGUUUUCGCUUGAAGGGAGGGAGGAUGAUAUGGCCAUGUCUGCUCUUAUUACUAUUGAUGCUCAAGAUGAUGCACGAGCUGAUGAUCGAGAUCACAUAGAUGAGAACGCUCAAUCCCCACACAUGCAUACGGUUGGAUCCAUUGGGCAUAGGCCCGUUGAGUUUAACCAUGGCUUAAGCCAAGCUACGUUUGUGACCCACAAGAAGGAAAGGAGUCUCAUGCGAGUUUGCUACUAG
This 621-nucleotide ribosomal RNA is filed under the name Triticum aestivum (bread wheat). RNAcentral's name for it is "partial small subunit ribosomal RNA". Lineage: Eukaryota; Viridiplantae; Streptophyta; Magnoliopsida; Poales; Poaceae. The record is from RNAcentral.